AACGAACGCUGGCGGCAGGCCUAACACAUGCAAGUCGAGCGGACCCUUCGGGGUUAGCGGCGGACGGGUGAGUAACGCGUGGGAAUUUGCCCUUCUCUACGGAAUAGUCCUGGGAAACUGGGGGUAAUACCGAAUACGCCCUUUGGGGGAAAGAUUUAUCGGGGAAGGAUUAGCCCGCGUUGGAUUAGGUAGUUGGUGGGGUAAUGGCCUACCAAGCCGACGAUCCAUAGCUGGUUUGAGAGGAUGAUCAGCCACACUGGGACUGAGACACGGCCCAGACUCCUACGGGAGGCAGCAGUGGGGAAUCUUAGACAAUGGGGGCAACCCUGAUCUAGCCAUGCCGCGUGAGUGAUGAAGGCCUUAGGGUUGUAAAGCUCUUUCAGCUGGGAAGAUAAUGACGGUACCAGCAGAAGAAGCCCCGGCUAACUCCGUG
Molecule: ribosomal RNA, 433 nt
Filed under: uncultured bacterium
Lineage: Bacteria
Description: partial 16S ribosomal RNA
Rfam family: Bacterial small subunit ribosomal RNA
Source: RNAcentral